Lemur catta (Ring-tailed lemur) is the source of this 2660-nucleotide RNA transcript. RefSeq lists it as uncharacterized. The transcript is spliced from 4 exons. The record is from RefSeq and is a predicted model, not a curated record. NCBI's taxonomy places the organism in Eukaryota, Metazoa, Chordata, Mammalia, Primates, Lemuridae.
GAGCAGGAGGUGCUGCUGGGGGUCCCUCGAGGGUCCUCGCUGCUCAGGUGACAGGGACGCUCCUCUUCGUCUUCCUGCCUGAGGGGGACAGAAGGUGACACAGAGUCCUUGAGCCCCCGAGAGUCCUCGAAUGCUCGGGCUCUGCCUGCCCCACCCCCACCUACUCCACGCCCAGUUGGAGGAAGGAGAUGCCGUCAUUUGGCACCUGCUGUGUCCCCCGCUGGGACGAGAUGGGCUGAGGGAGGCUGCGUCACCUGCCCCGGGGGACAGGGUAGUUGGGGUCGGGGCCAGAGUUAGAACCCAGGACCGGGUGACUUCGGAGCCGGGCCUUUCCGUCCCUGUCGGGCCGCCCCGUUGGGCUGACAGGCUGGUCCUUGAGGCCCAGAGUCGGGCUCUCAGGCGGUUACGCUUUCUGACCCGGGUUCUGGCAGGUUCUGUGGGCCAACACCUUCUGCGUGGACGCUUAUUUCCAGAAUCUUCCUGGCUCGUCUCAGCUAGACAAGUCCCAGAGCCACCUCCUGUGGGCUGGAGAGGGUCCCCCCUAGGGCUGCCGCCGACAGUGCCCCGAUGCAGAAGGGUCACCCGCUGCCACCUCUUCUUCCUCGUGGAGGAAGAAAGUGACCGGCAGGUCCUCGAGGAGCAAACCUGCACCUGUCCCCACGUCCGCACGGGACAUCCUGAGGCAGGGACGGUGCUGCCCCCGGGCCACGACCCAGCGCCGGGCACUCUUGCUCUUCCUCCAGAAGGUGGGUCACUGGGUCCGUCACAGAUGGGGCCACUGGGUCCCAGUCGGCACCGGAAACGCUUCCCCCCGGUUCGGGCGCGGAGAGCCGCACGUUCUCCGAGAAAGAGCUGGAAGCAAACGGGCUCCAAACACGUCGCAGGAACCAUUCACGAAAGACGGUGAAUUGUCGCGGUCUGGGUGCGCCUCCGGCCUCUGCCGUGCUCAGAACCAGCCUUCAGUGGACCAGAGCUCGAGCCUGAGACCCACCCUUCGUGACGGCUUUGGGUCCCUCUUGUCCCCACCCUGAGACGAGGGUCCAGGCCACGGCGCCACAAGCCCUCGUGUUGGUCCUUCCCAGGACAGGGCGGCCCCCGGGCACGUCCUCCCACCUGGGGCUUUUGUUGCCUGGCGAGCGUUGGUCUCCAGUCUGUUUGAGACAGUCUUGCUCUGUCACCUCUGCUGUGACCGUUUGGCUUUGGACCGGGUUUUUGCACCUCGUCAUCUUCAUCCAGCCACCGUGCCGAGUGCCUGCAGUUGCCAAAAAAGGAAUCCAUUUCUCAUGACAGAACCGUCAUCUGCCGGCCUCGUACCUGGCCCGUUUGUUCCCGAUGGGCCAGUGUCGUUGGAGUAGCGACGUCACGCCGGGCUGCCAACUCACACGCAGGUUGAGAUGGAUUCGCUUCCGCUACGGCCGUCAGCUCAUCUUCGUCCGCCGUGGCCUCGGGCCGCCCGCGUGGCUCAUCUUCAAGAUCAAAAUCCCCAGAACGGAACUUCUCAAACCUUCCACGUCCCGUGCGCUCGUCGGCCACGUCCUUCCCGCACACGUGGUCGAUACUCCGAGCUGCCUGCGCCGCGAUGGUGCCACAACAGAACCCACGUCUGGAAAUAACACGAAUUGUUGGCUUACCCGUGGUUUCACGGAAACUCCUCUAAAAAAAAUCUUACUUUGAAAGAUAAUCACCAGCCGAAAUGCAUCUGAAGGACUGAGCAUGAGGCUGGAGUCUCUGCACAGGCCAAGCAGCCGUUGGGUCCCCCCUUCUUCUGGUGGCUCCAGACAGGGGCUCCCCCUGGCUGGUGGCACGUAAGUCCCCUACUGGCAGCAGGUUCUCCACUGACCCAGCUGGGCUCAAAAGCCCAAGUGUCCCCAUCUUACCUGCUGGUUCUAGUUUUUCUUAAGCACGUUGGCGGGAGGUGCAGCCCCCGGCAUGUGUGUCCCUCACCUGAGUUCCCCAACGGGGCCUGGGGACAGCAGGGUCCUCAGGCCACCCCGGAAAGGCCUCGGCCUCCUGGUCGGGGGCCAGAGCCCGGGCCACUGGGAAUGGUGACAUUUCAGCAGACGUGUCAGCACGUCCUGUUCCACGGAGCCGUUGGCAGCCAUCCUUGGAAGUCAGAAAGGAGCGAAACUCCACCUCUGUUUACCUGACCUGGUUUCCCGGGAAAGGUUUCUCUGGCAAACCCUGGUUUCCAGGUGAAAUUCUCUGUUUGUCCCCGAGCAAAGGCUCCGGCUCCGUUACGCAGCUCUGGGCUCCGGACCGGCCUGGGAGUGAGCUUGAGCCGGUCCCCGUGAGCCGGGUGGGGAGGAGGGAGGACUGGGAAGGACUGGCCUAGCAGGACCCGUGUCCCCUCCCUGUGUCCUCUUCCCCGCAGACGGAGAACUGGCAGCAUCGUGGGUUGGGAGGGUCCCCGGGAAGCCUGGAGCCUCCGACCCCGCGGUUGGGCAGGCGGCCAGAGACCAGCCCCGGGUGACAGUGCUGAAGCCCAAGAAGCUUCUAGACUCGUCCUCCAGCUCCCUCAUUGCUCAGCUGAGAGCCCAGGCCGGGAGCAGGGGACGGGUCUGCUCAGUGUCACACAAAGCUACACACAGGGCCGGGCACGGUGGCUCUCGCCUGUCACCCCAGCACUCUGGGAGGCCGAGGCGGGAGGAUUGCUUGAGGUC